AUUGAACGCUGGCGGAAUGCUUUACACAUGCAAGUCGAACGGCAGCACGGGUGCUUGCACCUGGUGGCGAGUGGCGAACGGGUGAGUAACAUAUCGGAACGUACCCAGUAAUGGGGGGUAUAACUAGUCGAAAGAUUAGCUAAUACCGCAUACGCCCUGAGGGGGGUAAAGCGGGGGAUCGUAAGACCUCGCGUUAUUGGAGCGGCCGAUAUCUGAUUAGCUAGUUGGUGGGGUAAAGGCCUACCAAGGCGACGAUCAGUAGCUGGUCUGAGAGGACGACCAGCCACACUGGAACCUGAGACACGGUCCAGACUCCUACGGGAGGCAGCAGUGGGGAAUUUUGGACAAUGGGCGCAAGCCUGAUCCAGCCAUUCCGCGUGAGUGAAGAAGGCCUCGGGUUGUAAAGCUCUUUCGCAAGGGAAGAAACGAUACGAGCGAAUAACUCGUGUUAAUGACGGUACCUUGAUAAGAAGCACCGGCUAACUACGUGCCAGCAGCCGCGGUAAUACGUAGGGUGCGAGCGUUAAUCGGAAUUACUGGGCGUAAAGCGUGCGCAGGCGGUUUUGUAAGUCAGAUGUGAAAUCCCCGGGCUCAACCUGGGGAACUGCGUUUGAAACUACAAGGCUAGAGUAUAGGAGAGGGGGGUAGAAUCCCACGUGUAGCAGUGAAAUGCGUAGAGAUGUGGAGG
This 688-nucleotide ribosomal RNA is filed under the name uncultured bacterium. RNAcentral describes it as "bacterial SSU rRNA". It matches the Rfam family "Bacterial small subunit ribosomal RNA", at positions 28 to 704 of the family's 1533-position model. The record is from RNAcentral.